RNAcentral lists this long non-coding RNA (2012 nucleotides) under Homo sapiens (human). Its description in RNAcentral is "long non-coding RNA NONHSAT169013.1". The record is from RNAcentral. Lineage: Eukaryota; Metazoa; Chordata; Mammalia; Primates; Hominidae.
CUUUGUUUGGAAAUAGCAUCUUUGCAGGUGUAAUUAAGCUCUGGAUCUCAGGAUAUCUCCCUGAGUUUAGAGUGGGCCCUGAAUCCAGUGACUGGUGUCCCUGUAAAAAGAGGGAGGACAGAGCAGAGCAAAGGCGCCCUGUGAGGACAGCGGCAGAGGGUGGUGGGACAAGUGGGUUUCAGUCCAGUUGGUGCAACUGUGCUGCAGCAGCCCCAGGGCGCUCCUACCCACAGGCGCUGGGAUUCUCAUUCCUCCUCCAGAGUUUGCAGCCCCACUCAGCAUAGCCCUGGCUCCCUCCCUUCUCCCUGAAGCCCCUCUUCUUCCCCUCUCUGGCCCCUCUCUCAGCCAAAACCAAGCGGUGGGCUCACAGCGGGGGCAACAGGAGGGCUUCCCCACUCCUGCCGCCCACACCCCUCUGAGCCCUUCUCAUCUCCCACCUGCGUGCAGGAAGUGAAAACCUACAACAAAGGAUGGGGGUGAGGGCAGAGUUUGGGAGGAGCCUGGGUUUCAUGAGUGCUCUCCCGGAACCUCUACAGGAUCUCGGGCUGCUCCUGGGCACAGCAGGCCUCAGCCAGGGGAGUGGGAGGGCCCACAGAGGGCACCCACAGAGGGAGUGGGUGGGUUCACAGAGGGAGUGGGUGGGCUCACAGAGGGGGUGGGUGGGCCCCCAGUUCGCCUUGUCACUGGGACCUGGAGAGCUCAGUGCAAGCCCUAGACCGGGCUGGGAGUUGUCGCCGGUCCUGGCGAGUGUGGCCCGGCUGAGCCCGCCCAGGAAGGUCCAGGCCUGCUGGGUGAUGACAGUGCAACAUCUGCAACCCAAGGGAGCAGAUGCCCGGAAGCGGGAGGUGAUGCGCAGCUGGGGAGGGGAGGCACUGGCCUUGUACGCAGGACCGGUGGUCGUCAUGGUCCCUGGAUGUGUGUGUAGACAAAGGGCGGUCUGAGUGGAGGGGGUGAGGGCGGAUUGUUGACAUUUGCGGGCCUCGGAGCUGCCUGAGAGACGGAGGGACUCGCGCGCCUCCCCGGGGAGGUGGGUCUGGGGGCGCUGGGGGCAUGGAAGGGGCGCCGCGCCGGGAGCGGCCCCCACUUACCCCUCGUGUCCCUUGCAGAGGAAGAAGAGCGUGCGCCAGGCGUGCGCGGCGGCCAGCAGCAGAGACAGGAGGCUGGCGAGCAGGCUGAAGCGGCAGGCGGCCGGCGGGCCCCACUCCUGCACCGUGAAGCGCUCGCGCUCCUGCACCGUGAGGUUGGCGCUCAGCCACAUGCCCUCGGUGAAGAGCAGGCAGCGGCCGCGGAAGUCGUGGCCGUUCUCGGACAGCGGGACCACCACCACGAAGCUGAACAGGAAGGCCAAGAAGUAGCAGGCGCACUGAGCGAAAAGGAAAUUGUUGAGCGCCAUGGCCGGCCCGGGCGAGAGCGGCGGCGGGAAGGCCGCGGGAGGCUGCGCCGGGCGGGGAGGCCGCGGGAGGCUGCGCAGUGGCGGCGCCGGCAGGUCCCGCGCGCCCCUCCCGGGACGCGUGCGCAUCGGCCGAGCGCGGGAAGCGCCUGCGGUCAGCACCGCGGACAGCUCCUGGUGCGCGCGGGCCAGGAGCCCGGGGUCCAGGGGCCAGAGAAGGGCGGCCUGCGGGAGAUGCGGGAAUUUUACCAGGUCGGCCUGGAGGGACCGACCCUGUGCCGCUAAAGACUUCGGGAGCCACCUGUACGGGCCUCACACAGGCCGACUCUGGGUCGUCAGUUCCUCAUCAGCUCGAACGAAAGGAGACCAGGAGAGAGAGGGCGGGGCGGGGGGUGUUGGAGGACACCCCCAAGGUGCUCAUAGUGAGGUGUAGGAGUGCGGUUUGCAGUCCAGGCUGAAGUGAUUCCUUUGCGGGGGUCCCGAAAUGCAAUGUAUGAGGGGAGGGGCCAGAUCGUGGAGGAGUCGGGGUCCAAGGGACUGGGACAGAGGUCAUCCUCGAAGAGAUGGGGAGGGUGAGGCCAGGUGUGGGCAGGAGGGGGUGGACCGGGAGCUUCUGCAGCGC